UUCUUUAUUGAUUUUUAUAUAAGGUAUAACCUGCUCAAUGAUUUUUAAAUAGCCGCGAUUUUAUCGUGCUAAGGUAGCAUAAUAAUUUGUCUUUUAAUUAAGGUCCAGAAUGAAUGGUUGAACGAGAAACUAACUUUUUUAAUUAAAUUUUUAUGAAUUUUAUUUUUUAGUAAAAAAGCUAAAAUUUAUUUAUGUGACGAUAAGACCCUAUAAAAUUUUAUUUUCAUAUUUUUAUUUAUUAACUGGUUAAUAUAAUUUUUUAACUAUUUUGGAAAUUUGGUUGGGGCGAUUAUUUUAUUUUUUUAACUUUAAUUUUUACAAUUCAUUAAUUUGUGAAUUAUUGAUCCUAAAUUUUAGAUUAAAAGAAUAAAUUACUUUAGGGAUAACAGCGUAAUUUUCUUGGAGAGUUCUUAUUAAUAAGAAAGAUUGCG
Molecule: ribosomal RNA, 431 nt
Filed under: Tingidae gen. 1 sp. n RS-2018
Lineage: Eukaryota; Metazoa; Arthropoda; Insecta; Hemiptera; Tingidae
Description: partial large subunit ribosomal RNA
Source: RNAcentral